UACGGGGGGGGCAAGCGUUGUUCGGAAUUACUGGGCGUAAAGGGCUCGUAGGCGGCCAACUAAGUCAGACGUGAAAUCCCUCGGCUUAACCGGGGAACUGCGUCUGAUACUGGAUGGCUUGAGGUUGGGAGAGGGAUGCGAAAUUCCAGGUGUAGCGGUGAAAUGCGUAGAUAUCUGGAGGAACACCGGUGGCGAAGGCGGCAUCCUGGACCAAUUCUGACGCUGAGGAGCGAAAGCCAGGGGAGCAAACGGG
This 253-nucleotide ribosomal RNA is filed under the name uncultured bacterium. Its description in RNAcentral is "partial 16S ribosomal RNA". It matches the Rfam family "Bacterial small subunit ribosomal RNA", at positions 524 to 776 of the family's 1533-position model. The record is from RNAcentral.